GCGGGAAUAGCUCAGUGGUAGAGCACCACCUUGCCAAGGUGGGGGUCGCGAGUUCGAGUCUCGUUUCCCGCU
This 72-nucleotide transfer RNA is filed under the name Pectinatus cerevisiiphilus. It matches the Rfam family "tRNA". Rfam says of the family: Transfer RNA (tRNA) molecules are approximately 80 nucleotides in length. The record is from Rfam by way of RNAcentral. Lineage: Bacteria; Bacillati; Bacillota; Negativicutes; Selenomonadales; Selenomonadaceae.